GUGUUGCAGAUAUUUUGGGUAAAUUUGGGAGAUUUUCUUCUUAGUCAGAGUUGACGGUUUAAAGUUCUUGAUGUGUCAUGCUGGCUGUUCACUUUUAUUAGGCCCUUUUAAUUCGAGGAAAGAGAAGUGUAGGCUGUAAACAGCCUUCGGUAAUCUUGGACCAGUGAAGCCAUUCCUUCAAGCAGGACAGUUACCUCAGAACAUUUGAAGGGAACUCUUCAACAUUGGCCAUGGGGAUAAAUGCGGCAUUAAAAGUGGAAGCUAAAAAAAAAACAAGUGUUCAGCUCCAGAUUGUUCCAGCUGCACCACAGGGCCAGUUGAUCUACCUCUCGUCUAUAUGCAGACUCAUCAUCCUCCCGAAUGAGACCGAUCACUGUUCUAUCAUCUGCAAACUUCAGUACUUUAACAGAGAGAUCCUUCAAGAUGCAAUCAUUGGUAUAUAGAGAGAAGAGUAAUGAGGAAAGCGCACAGUCCUGGGAGGCUCCUGUACUAACUGAGCGGGUGUUUGAUGUGAUUUUUCCCUAGCUAAUAAUAAUGUAAUGUCUACCAUUAUAUCUAUUAAAUAACAAUUACUCACAAAUUAUCACAAGCAA
Molecule: non-coding RNA, 593 nt
Organism: Pantherophis guttatus
Lineage: Eukaryota; Metazoa; Chordata; Lepidosauria; Squamata; Colubridae
Source: RefSeq, a predicted model, not a curated record